GUGAGGAAUUUUGCGCAAUGGCCGCAAGGCUGACGCAGCAACGCCGCGUGGGUGAUGAAGGCCUUCGGGUCGAAAAGCCCUGUCAGGUGGGAAGAAAGGCUUGAAGAAGCAACGCUUUGAGUUUGACGGUACCACCAGAGGAAGCACCGGCUAACUCCGUGCCAGCAGCCGCGGUAAUACGGAGGGUGCGAGCGUUAUUCGGAAUUACUGGGCGUAAAGCGCGUGUAGGCGGGGAUGCAAGUCUGAUGUGAAAGCCCUGGGCUUAACGUGGGAAGUGCAUUGGAAACUGCAUUUCUUGAGUACUGGAGAGGAAGGGGGAAUUCCCGGUGUAGAGGUGAAAUUCGUAGAGAUCGGGAGGAAUACCAGUGGCGUAGGCGCCCUUCUGGACGGUAACUGACGCUGAGACGCGAAAGCGUGGGGAGCAAACAGGAUUAGAAACCCCGGUAGUCC
RNAcentral lists this ribosomal RNA (450 nucleotides) under uncultured bacterium. Its description in RNAcentral is "partial 16S ribosomal RNA". It matches the Rfam family "Bacterial small subunit ribosomal RNA", at positions 354 to 796 of the family's 1533-position model. The record is from RNAcentral.